Molecule: ribosomal RNA, 467 nt
Filed under: uncultured Alphaproteobacteria bacterium
Lineage: Bacteria; Pseudomonadati; Pseudomonadota; Alphaproteobacteria
Description: bacterial SSU rRNA
Rfam family: Bacterial small subunit ribosomal RNA
Source: RNAcentral
CGCUGGCGGCAGGCCUAACACAUGCAAGUCGAGCGCGCCUUCGGGUGANCGGCGGACGGGUUAGUAACGCGUAGGAACCUACCUAAAGGUACGGAAUAACUCAUGGAAACGUGAGCUAAUACCGUAUGAUCCCUAAGGGGCAAAGAUUUAUCGCCUUUAGAUGGGCCUGCGUUAGAUUAGCUAGUUGGUGAGGUAACGGCUCACCAAGGCGACGAUCUAUAGCUGGUCUGAGAGGAUGAUCAGCCACACUGGGACUGAGACACGGCCCAGACUCCUACGGGAGGCAGCAGUGGGGAAUAUUGGACAAUGGGCGAAAGCCUGAUCCAGCAAUGCCGCGUGAGUGAAGAAGCCUUAAGGUUGUAAAACUCUUUCACCAGGGAAGAUAAUGACGGUACCUGGAGAAGAAGCCCCCGGCUAACUCCGUGCCAGCAGCCCGCGGUAAUUCCGGAGGGGUUAGCGUUGAAGCC